RNAcentral lists this ribosomal RNA (500 nucleotides) under uncultured bacterium. RNAcentral describes it as "partial 16S ribosomal RNA". It matches the Rfam family "Bacterial small subunit ribosomal RNA", at positions 30 to 523 of the family's 1533-position model. The record is from RNAcentral.
AUUGAACGCUGGCGGCAUGCUUUACACAUGCAAGUCGAACGGUAACAGGGUGCUUGCACCGCUGACGAGUGGCGAACGGGUGGGUAAUGCGUCGGAACGUGCCGAGUAGUGGGGGAUAACGCAGCGAAAGUUGUGCUAAUACCGCAUACGUACUGAGGUAGAAAGUGGGGGACCUUCGGGCCUCACGCUAUUCGAGCGGCCGACGUCUGAUUAGCUAGUAGGUGAGGUAAAGGCUCACCUAGGCGACGAUCAGUAGCGGGUCUGAGAGGAUGACCCGCCACACUGGGACUGAGACACGGCCCAGACUCCUACGGGAGGCAGCAGUGGGGAAUUUUGGACAAUGGGCGAAAGCCUGAUCCAGCCAUGCCGCGUGUCUGAAGAAGGCCUUCGGGUUGUAAAGGACUUUUGUCAGGGAGGAAAUCCCUAGUGCUAAUAACACUGGGGGAUGACAGUACCUGAAGAAUAAGCACCGGCUAACUACGUGCCAGCAGCCGCGGUAA